This 253-nucleotide ribosomal RNA is filed under the name uncultured bacterium. RNAcentral's name for it is "partial 16S ribosomal RNA". It matches the Rfam family "Bacterial small subunit ribosomal RNA", at positions 524 to 776 of the family's 1533-position model. The record is from RNAcentral.
UACAGAGGGUGCGAGCGUUGUCCGGAAUCACUGGGCGUAAAGGGCGCGUAGGCGGCUUGAUAAGGUUGCGGUGAAAGCCCGGGGCUCAACCCCGGGUCGGCCGUGGCAACUGUCGAGCUGGAGCACUGUAGAGGCAGGUGGAAUUCCGGGUGUAGCGGUGGAAUGCGUAGAGAUCCGGAAGAACACCGGUGGCGAAGGCGGCCUGCUGGGCAGUGGCUGACGCUGAGGCGCGAAAGCGUGGGGAGCGAUCCGG